UACGUAGGGUGCAAGCGUUAAUCGGAAUUACUGGGCGUAAAGCGUGCGCAGGCGGUUAUGCAAGACAGAUGUGAAAUCCCCGGGCUCAACCUGGGAACUGCAUUUGUGACUGCAUGGCUAGAGUACGGUAGAGGGGGAUGGAAUUCCGCGUGUAGCAGUGAAAUGCGUAGAUAUGCGGAGGAACACCGAUGGCGAAGGCAAUCCCCUGGACCUGUACUGACGCUCAUGCACGAAAGCGUAGGGAGCAAACAGG
RNAcentral lists this ribosomal RNA (253 nucleotides) under uncultured bacterium. RNAcentral's name for it is "partial 16S ribosomal RNA". It matches the Rfam family "Bacterial small subunit ribosomal RNA", at positions 524 to 776 of the family's 1533-position model. The record is from RNAcentral.